CCUACGGGGGGCAGCAGUGGGGGAUAUUGCACAAUGGGGGGAACCCUGAUGCAGCGACGCCGCGUGGGUGAAGAAGCGCCUCGGCGCGUAAAGCCCUGUCAGCAGGGAAGAAAAUGACGGUACCUGAAGAAGAAGCCCCGGCUAAAUACGUGCCAGCAGCCGCGGUAAUACGUAUGGUGCAAGCGUUAUCCGGAUUUACUGGGUGUAAAGGGAGCGCAGGCGGCGCGUUAAGCCUGGUGUGAAAGUCCGCGGCCCAACCGCGGGACUGCAUUGGGAACUGGCGCGCUGGAGUGCCGGAGGGGUAGGCGGAAUUCCUAGUGUAGCGGUGAAAUGCGUAGAUAUUAGGAGGAACACCAGUGGCGAAGGCGGCCUACUGGACGGUGACUGACGCUGAGGCUCGAAAGCGUGGGGAGCAAACAGGAUUAGAUACCCCAGUAGUC
This 440-nucleotide ribosomal RNA is filed under the name uncultured bacterium. RNAcentral describes it as "partial 16S ribosomal RNA". It matches the Rfam family "Bacterial small subunit ribosomal RNA", at positions 338 to 795 of the family's 1533-position model. The record is from RNAcentral.